This 255-nucleotide ribosomal RNA is filed under the name Clostridioides difficile. RNAcentral's name for it is "partial 16S ribosomal RNA". It matches the Rfam family "Bacterial small subunit ribosomal RNA", at positions 63 to 327 of the family's 1533-position model. Lineage: Bacteria; Bacillati; Bacillota; Clostridia; Peptostreptococcales; Peptostreptococcaceae. The record is from RNAcentral.
UGAGCGAUUUACUUCGGUAAAGAGCGGCGGACGGGUGAGUAACGCGUGGGUAACCUACCCUGUACACACGGAUAACAUACCGAAAGGUAUGCUAAUACGGGAUAAUAUAUUUGAGAGGCAUCUCUUAGAUAUCAAAGGUGAGCCAGUACAGGAUGGACCCGCGUCUGAUUAGCUAGUUGGUAAGGUAACGGCUUACCAAGGCGACGAUCAGUAGCCGACCUGAGAGGGUGAUCGGCCACAUUGGAACUGAGACAC